UGCCUGGCAGGGCUUGCCCUAUUUGGCGAUAUCUUUCCCCGGCAAGAAUUGCUUGACACGAGUCAAACCUCUUCUAGAGGGCGUCCUUAAGUGCAAGUUCCACGAUAGAUUCAUCGGCAGCUACGCUGGCAUCGACGAGACGCUAGCUCAAGUCAACAUUCACCGAAUGCAACCUGCAAGUGAUGCCGCAAAUAUGGAGAUUUAAUACUGAUUUUUAAUACGAUGACUAGCAACAGACCCCGUGGGCGCCAAGCUAAAACUUCAUACGGACUGACGACGUCUCAAGGGCAAGACAAUGGCAACGUGCAAUGUGGCCAUGUGAUGGUGAUAACUACCACAAGAAGAGCUCGGUUGGCGACGAGCAUAUCAACUUGAGAAGUUCGUGAUAAAUAUUGAGAUUUUUCACAUGGGGGUUAUAUCGGCAUCUUCUUCCACUCAAACUUGAAAUCUUGUUUUCAGUUUCCUAUUACAUGUCAAUUUAUUCGACCAGUUAGCAUAAACACCUGAAAGUGACACUUGUAGGCAUAUCGCAUACCGAUGGUAAAGACCUACGGAAAAGAUUUGUCCCUCCAAACCAAUCUUUUAGACGAUUGGCUACAUGUCACUGCGAUGGCGUAGCGCUAGCGGAGAAAGUUUUCAUUGUUUUUUUAUGUGCUUUACCUACGUUGCGUUAUCAAAUAGAGCGAAGUUCUGUAAGAACAAAAUAAAGGCAAUUGCCAUUGGGGUGCAAGUGUUUUUUUUUCGUAUCAACGAAAUAAAAUUGUCGCAGUUACAUGCUGCGAUUCUACCCAA
This is a long non-coding RNA of Rhipicephalus microplus (southern cattle tick), 792 nucleotides long. The record is from RefSeq and is a predicted model, not a curated record. NCBI's taxonomy places the organism in Eukaryota, Metazoa, Arthropoda, Arachnida, Ixodida, Ixodidae.